This is a non-coding RNA of Pelobates cultripes (western spadefoot toad), 975 nucleotides long. NCBI's taxonomy places the organism in Eukaryota, Metazoa, Chordata, Amphibia, Anura, Pelobatidae. The record is from the annotation of a GenBank genome assembly.
CCAUUGCAUGCUGGCUAGGUGUUGUAGGCCCAUUGCAGGCAGGCUAGGUGUUGCAGGCAGGCUAGGUGUUGUUGCCCCAUUGCAGGCUGGCUUGGUGUUGUUGCCCCAUUGCAUGCUGGCUAGGUGUUGUUGCCCCAUUGCAUGCUGGCUAGGUGUUGUUGACUCAGUGCAUGCUGGCUAGGUGUUGUUGACUCAUUGCAUGCAGGCUAGGUGUUGCCCCAUUUCAGGCUGGCUAGGUGUUGUUGAUCCAUUGCAGGCUGGCUAGGUGUUGAUCCAUUGCAGGCUGGCUAGGUGUUGACCCAUGUCAGGCUGGCUAUGUGUUAUUCAGGCUGGCUAGGUGUUGGUGUUGUUCAGGCUGGCUAGGUGAUGACCCAUGGCUGGCUAGGUGUUAUUCAGGCUGGCUAGGUGAUGACCCAUGGCUGGCUAGGUGUUAUUCAGGCUGGCUAGGUGUUGUUGACCCAUUGCAGGCUGGCUAGGUGAUGUUGCCCCGCUGCAGGCCGGCUAGGUGUUGUUGCCCCGCUACAGGCCGGCUAGGUGUUGUUGACCCAUUGCAGGCUGGCUAGGUGUUGACCCACUACAGGCUGGCUAGGAGUUGACCCAUUGCAUGCUGGCUAGGUGUUGUUGGCCCAUUGCAUGCUGGCUAGGUGUUGUAGGCCCAUUGCAGGCAGGCUAGGUGUUGCAGGCAGGCUAGGUGUUGUUGCCCCAUUGCAGGCUGGCUUGGUGUUGUUGCCCCAUUGCAUGCUGGCUAGGUGUUGUUGACUCAUUGCAUGCUGGCUAGGUGUUGUUGACUCAUUGCAUGCUGGCUAGGUGUUGUUGACUCAUUGCAUGCAGGCUAGGUGUUGCCCCAUUGCAGGCUGGCUAGGUGUUGUUGAUCCAUUGCAGGCUGGCUAGGUGUUGACCCAUGUCAGGCUGGCUAUGUGUUAUUCAGGCUGGCUAUGUGUUAUUCAGGCUGGCUAGGUGUUGGUGUUAUUCAGG